CACCGGCAGCUCUAGUGGUAACAAUUUUUAUUGGGCCUAAAGCGUCCGUAGCCGGUUUAAUAAGUCUCUGGUGAAAUCCUGUAGCUUAACUGUGGGAAUUGCUGGAGAUACUAUUAGACUUGAGACCGGGAGAGGUUAGAGGUACUCCCAGGGUAGAGGUGAAAUUCUGUAAUCCUGGGAGGACCGCCUGUUGCGAAGGCGUCUAACUGGAACGGUUCUGACGGUGAGGGACGAAAGUUAGGGGCGCGAACCGG
RNAcentral lists this ribosomal RNA (254 nucleotides) under uncultured archaeon. Its description in RNAcentral is "partial 16S ribosomal RNA". It matches the Rfam family "Archaeal small subunit ribosomal RNA", at positions 474 to 727 of the family's 1478-position model. The record is from RNAcentral.